Molecule: ribosomal RNA, 403 nt
Filed under: uncultured bacterium
Lineage: Bacteria
Description: bacterial SSU rRNA
Rfam family: Bacterial small subunit ribosomal RNA
Source: RNAcentral
UAGGGAAUAUUGCAAAAUGGGCGAAAGCCCGAUGCAGCAACGCCGCGUGGGCGAUGAAGGCCUUCGGGUCGUAAAGCCCUUUUUGAGGGGAUGAGGAAGGACAGUACCCUCAGAAUAAGCCUCGGCUAACUACGUGCCAGCAGCCGCGGUAAAACGUAGGAGGCGAGCGUUAUCCGGAUUUACUGGGCGUAAAGCGCGUGCAGGCGGAUUGGAUAGUUGGAUGUGAAAGCUCCCGGCUUAACUGGGAGAGGUCGUUCAAUACUUCCAGUCUUGAGUGCAGUAGAGGGAAGUGGAAUUCCGGGUGUAGUGGUGAAAUGCGUAGAUAUCCGGAGGAACACCAGUGGCGAAAGCGGCUUCCUGGACUGUAACUGACGCUCAGACGCGAAAGCUAGGGUAGCAAACG